Molecule: long non-coding RNA, 7551 nt
Filed under: Daucus carota (carrot)
Lineage: Eukaryota; Viridiplantae; Streptophyta; Magnoliopsida; Apiales; Apiaceae
Description: long non-coding RNA (DCAR_LNC002663)
Source: RNAcentral
AGUAGAAGUCAUAACCUUUUACUUGGUUGUGGUAGUAUUCAAAAAUAAUGUGUCAAACUCUAUAAAUAAUAUUUUUACUACUUCAACUAAAAUUUUGAGGUACUUGAUUGAUAUUUAUUGUGACUUUAAUGAUUAAAAUGAGACCCCGAUAAGAUUAGUGAGCAAAGUGAUAUAUGACCUCCACUUCAGUGACCACUUUGAUAUUUAACCCUUGUUCCUGGCCUUCAACUUGAUGGAUGCAGUUCCUUGCUUUUUAUCUCUGUGGUGUGUUUCUUUUGCCAAACUUCUUAAUACCUACUUCCUCGAAAUAGAGAAAGGCGUUUUUGGUUUGUGUAAUCUGUUAUAUAAGCUAGCUAUGUGAGAUCUUAGGUGUUUCUUACUAGUACCAGACUAUUAAACAAUCAGGUCAUAAUAUUGCACAGAAACAGGAUUCAAAGCACACUAGACUUUGCUUCUCAAAAUAUCAAAAACAAAUAGCAGGGGUGCAUAUAAAAAAGACAAGCAAACAAACAAAUUAUCUUUACCAGUAAUUCAACAACUAAUAUAACAAAACAAACACAAGUGAAUAUGUAUAUGAUCAACUAAAUUAAGAAGGUUUUAGAGAGUGGCCUGGUGAGGCGUGUGAAAACACUGCCCUAAGGAAUCGUGCCCCUUCUCGUGCAAGGUUUUGUGGCAACUCUUUAGCGGUACAACACCCAAAUAGUUAUCCUUUAGCAGUGCACGAAAGAUAAAGGACAUCAACAAUGAUUUUCCAAUGCACCAAAUAACAGCCAAAGUAUUGUAUAUAAAUAGUAUUAUGCUUUUAAACUAUAUGCUUCUCUAGAUAAAAACAGAGGUUUGUGUUUUCCGAUAUAUGCAGACUAGAAGAGCUUUGAAACAGAGGAGAAUGGAAGCAGAGGAGUCGAGAGAUUGUUUUUCUUUUUGUUGUUCUGCUACUUUUCCAAAACUCUCUUUGUAUAGGUUGUAAACUUAUACCUGAUACAUAGCUUUAUGGGGAUAUUAUUAGAUUUUCCAAAACUCUCUUUAUAUAGGUUGUAAACUUAUACCUGAUACAUAGCUUUAUGGGGAUAUUAUUAGGUUGAUUAUGAAUUAAAGCAUGAGAAUGUAACUGGUAUUUUAACGGGAGGAAAAUAUAUGUACUUCAAAACAUAUCUUUGACCAAAUCUUUUAAUAUAUAUCUAAAAUAUUCAAAUUUUAUUUUUUCACAAUAUUAGAUAUUAAUAGCUAAAUAUCUAACAAUCCCCUCCAAAAAUAAAACUUUAAGUAAGAAAAACAUAAACAAAACAAAUAAAAUGUGGAGCUCAUUUUAUUAUGUAUUCAAUACGGGUAGCUUCCGGCUUGGAACCCGCACCUAGUGACAUUUGUUGCAAUUUGAAAAAUCAAAGUGGACUACGCCUGGAACUUGAUUCUUUCAACCAAAUAUUAACAAACACUACAAGAAAAUUCAUAUAUAACGACGGAUAUUCCGCUGGCAGAAUAGGGAUUUCCGUUGGUAAAUCACCUUGCCAACGGAAUGAUAAUGAAAACAGAGGGUUGGCAUAUAGCCCGUCGGGAAGUUCAUGCUAACGGAACNCAUCUGCNUUAGUAUUAUUAGCAACGGUUUCUCAACAAAAUGUGGUUGGUACAUUUAGUAACAGAAUUCUGUUGGCAGAUUUGGUAACAGAAGUACUAACGAAAUUCUGUUGGCAUUUAGUAGUCUCACUACGAUCGAUCAGUUCCAGUGAGUAAGAGACGCAAAAUGAAAAUUUGUGUUUUUUGAAAUAUGGAUGAGAAAGAGAUGUUAUAUGUUCCAAAGCUUUUGACUGGCUAAGAAUAAUUAAUUACAACAAGAAAAAGGUAGGUUGAUAUAUACAUUGAUUAGAAAUGGUAGUUGAUAUAUAUUAAUUGCCAACUACAACUACUAACCAAUUAGUAACGGAAUGGUUAGUAUUUACCAAAAGACUUAACUCGUUGCUAGUCCGUUGUUACUUUCUUGGUAGUGUGUUAUUAUUCCGUUACGAGUUUUUUCUUCCUAACGGAACAUACUGUUGGUAAAUUAGCGUUGGUAGUUUGUUACGAAUUGAUUGCGAGAAUAUUGACUAGUUAAAUCAUUACAAAUCCGUUGGGAACUACCAACGGACUAAUUUCCCUUGGCAAUUUCCAUUGGUAAAACUGCGUUCUCUUGUAGUGAAAGCACACAUAAUAUGAAAAAUCAUUGUUAGGGCUUGCGCUAUAAUGGCCAUGCGCAAUAACCGACUCAUGAGAGUUUCAGAGAUUAGCCCGUAUCUCAUAGUUGCGGCCACACAACUCCUCUCACGUAGGUAAUUCCUCAAAGGUAUUAGUGAACGGAUAAAUACCUUGCAAAUUCUGCCUUAAGACUUAUUAAGAGUAUGAAUACUCAACCUUACCGUUCACUAUAUGAGCACUUCAUCAUCAUAGGAAUGGGGUAGAAGAAUGUAUCUACGUACAUCUUCUAAGGAGUGUAACUCCUUAUAUUGAAGGCUCUCACACAAACAUCUAUUCAGCUUGUUUCUACCCUUGGAACUUAUUAAACAAGUAGGGUUUCCACUGUAGAUGAUGCAUAAUUAUGGGCUUAACCCCAUUCCCCUCGAUGAAAUUAGGAUCUUUUUCCUAGAUAGACCCUUUGUCAAAGGAUCUGAUAAAUUCUCUUCUGACCUCACAAAAUCUAAGGUCACUUAAUCUCUCAUCAAGCGCUUGAUUAAUUUGUAACGUAUCUGCAGAUGCCUAUUCAAUUUUGCAUUAACAGUUUCCUGUGCUAGUAAAUCAAGAACAGUAGUAGAAUCACAAUGUACAUGAAUAGGUGGAACAAUUUUAAACAAAAAUGAUAAAUCAAGCAACAAAUUGCGAAGCCAUUCAGCUUCCAAACAUGUAGUGUCAAGAGCAAUUAACUCAGCAUAAGAUGUACUUCUAGCAAUUAUAGUUUGUUUAACAGAACCCCAAGUUAUAGUACCACCACCAAACAAAAAUAUAAAACCGGAAGUGGAUUUUACUAGACGUGAAUCAGUUACCCAAUUUGCAUCAGAAUAUCCUUCUAGUAAAUCAGGAUGACCGCUAUAUAUAAGUGAAUAAUCUAUGGUGCCUUUUAAAUACUUAAGUACCCUCUCUAAAGCUGUCCAAUGUUCUUGACUUUGGUUACUUGUAUAUCUACUAAGUCUUCCUACAGCAAAAGAUAUGUCAGGUCUUGUUCUAUUUGAGAUGUAUAGUAGAGAACCUAUUAUUUGAGAGUAUUUAUGUUGUGAAAUAGGAUUGCCUUUAUUUUUAUUAAGAGCUAUACUCGAGUCAUAAGGUGUUGCUACAGGUCUACAAUCCAUAUAAUUAUAUUUUUUUUAAGCAUUUUCUCAAUUGAAUGACUUAAUGAUAUGUGAAUUCCCUUUUCACUCCUAAAAAUUCUCAUUCCUAAAAUCACAUUUGCCUCUCCCAAGUCUUUCAUAUCAAAAUUUCUAGAAAGAUAGUUUUUAAUAUACACAAUACAAGACAUUGAUCUACUAAAAAUUAAAAUAUCAUCCACAUAUAUGCAUAUAAUGACAUAUUCAUCACCAAGCACUUUAUAAUAUAAACAUUUAUCAAAUUCAUUUGAAACAAAACCAUAUUUAGUAAUCAAACAAUCAAAUUUUUUAAACCAAUCUUUAGAGGCUUGUUUUAAACCAUAUAUCGAUUUCACUAACCUACAUACUUUAUUUUCUUUCCCUUUAACCAUAAAACCUUCUGGUUGCUCCAUAUAAAUUUCUUCAUGCUAAAUCACCAUUUAAAAAGGCUGUUUUAACAUCCAUUUGGUGUAUAUGUAACUUAUAAAUAGAAGCUAAGGCUAGGAGAGUCCUAACAGUGGUUAUGCUAGCUACAGGUGAAUAUGUGUUAAAAUAAUGUGUAAACCCUUUAGCAACUAACCUAGCUUUGUACUUAUUUAUAGAUCCAUCAGGCCUCAAUUUUUUCUUAAAUACCCAUCUACACCCUACAGUUUUAAAACCUUUAGGUAAGUCAGUUAAAUGCCAAGAAUUAUUCUCCAAAAGAGAUUUCAUUUCACUAUCUAUGGCUUCUUUCCAAAAAGGAGCAUCUGGUGAAGACAUAGCUUCCAAAUAAGUAGAUGGUUCACCUUCAACAGAAUAAACAAGAAAAUCAUCUCUAUAAUCUUUUUCUAUCCUACCUCUUUUACUUCUUCUAGGUUCUUCUAAUGAUGUUGAUGUACAAGGAAUGUUUGACAUAGAAUUAGAACUAGAGCUAGCGACUUGUUUUAGCAUCCUAGUCUUAUAAGGAAAAAUAUCCUCAAAAUAGGUUGCAUCUCUAGCCUCAAUAAUAGUAUUAGGGGAAACAUUGGGAUUAUCAGAAUGAAUUACAAGAAACCUAUUUGUUGUACCUUGAGUAUAUCCAAUAAAAAUAACAUCUACAGUUUUAGAUCCUAACUUUCUUUUCUUUGGUUCUGGAAUUCCUACUUUAGCCAAACAACCCCAAACUUUGAAAUAAUCAAGUUUUAGACUUCUAUUUUUCGAAUAUUCAUAAGGUGUAAUAUUAGUGGUCUUAUUAGGAAUUCUAUUUAACACAUAACAAGCAGUGAGCAACGCCUCACCCCAAAGAUUUUCGGGAGCACCCGAACUUAAGAGCAUACAAUUUAUCAUAUCUAUCAAAGUCCUGUUUUUUCUUUCAGCGACACCGUUAGAUUGUGGAGUGUAAGGGGCUGUAACUUCGUGAAUUAUUCCAUGUUCUUGGUAAAAUUGUGUAAAAUCAUUAUCCAUAUAUUCUCCACCUCUAUCGGAUCUAAGAAUUUUAAUACUUUUUUCAGUUUGUUUUUCAAUCUCGGCUUUAUAAAUUUUAAAAUUUCCUAAGACCUCGUCUUUUUUCUUAAGAAGGUAUACAUAACAAUACUUAGAAUAAUCAUCAAUAAAAAUUACAAAAUAUUUUCUACCACCUCUAGUAAGAACCUUACCACUAUCACACACGUCACUAUUAAUUAAUUCUAGUAAUGAAGAGUCUCUAGCAAUAUUUGAGAAAGCCUUUCUAGUGUGUUUACAUUGUGCACAUAUUUCACAUUUAGUUCUUUCCUUAAUAUUAUGAUUUGGGAGUAAACCUUUAUUAAUCAUUCUUUGUAUUGUACCAUGAUUAACAUGUCCUAGUCUUUCAUGCCACAAAGAAGAAUUUUCAGUAUUUAGGACAAUUGCAAAGAUUUCAUUAUUAAUAAGAUUAGGAGAAACAUUCAAUUUUAUUAAUCCUUCAAAUACAUAACCUUUACCAAUAAAUACAGUAUUCUUGGAGAUUACAACUUUAUUAGAGACCAUAUCAAUGCGAUAACCUACACUAAGAAGAAUUGAACUACUAAUGAGAUUUCUCCUAAUUGUAGGUACAUGUAGGACAUGAUUAAGAACUAAGAUUUUCCCAGAUGUAAAUUCCAAAUUUAUUCUUCCUCUUCUACUCACUUGAGCUACCGAAUCAUUUCCAAGAAUUACAUUUCCUCCACUUGAUUCCUGAUAAUUUGAAAACCAUGAACGUUCAUUACACACAUGAAUAUUAGCUCCAGAGUCUAACCACCAAUCAUUAGAGUUAUAGAUUGUAUUAUUAAUUAAAGGGAUAGAAUUUUCUAACCUAAAUGAAUUAUUAGGAGUUCCCUCGAUCAUGUUGACUUGAUGUUUUGGAGCGGCUUUGAAGCGAUUACUAGCUUGAACAGGUUCAGUUUUCUUGUAGAAACAUUGAGGAGCAAGAUGAUUUGUUCUUCCACAUACAUAACAAUGUUUUUGAUUGUUCUUGGAACCACCAUUAGACUUAUAAGAGUUUUUAUUUUGAUUUUGGAAAUAUUUUGAAGGGCCUUUAUUAUGAAAUUUAUUCCCCACUAUUUUUGAAAUUUCUAUUUUUGGGUUUAAAAGAACUCCUGUGGCGAUUUGGAUUUUUGGAUUCCUCGGUGAGAUUGACUUUAAGGGAAACUUCAGUUUUAGACUUCUCGUUUUGCCUAUGUUCGUUUUCAAUACGGACUUUCACAAUAGCAUUAUUAAGAGUGAGAGAAGAUUGAUUGUGGCGAAGUUCUCUAGCAAAAUCAGACCAACUAGGAGGGAGUUUAUCGAUGAGAUUUGAAACUUUGAAUUCUUCAGAAAAUUUAGAACCUUUAGACUCGAGAUAUCUAACAUGAUCUUGAAAAGUGUGUAAUUGAUCUCCUAUAGGUUUAUCAUUUACCAUUUUAAAAUUAUAAAAGGAGGAUGCACUAAACCUAUGGGCACCAACAUCAUCAAAGCCAUACUCGGUUUCUAAAGCUUCCGAUAAUUCUUUAGCCAAAUCAAACUCACAAUAUAUAUCAUAUAAGGUAUCCGACAAGGCACUAAGAAUCCUAUUUAAGCAAAUAUAAUCUUGAUCUUUAGUGGGUUUUGUUGGAGUAGAAGAUGUGGGUGUUGAAGUUUCGGUUUGUGGAGUUGAAGUUGAAGUCUCUUUACUAGUAUUUUGAUAUUCCAAAACACUUAUAAGGCCUAAGGUGGUUAACCAAAAUCUCAUUUGUUUUUGCCAACGCUUAAAAUUCAAUCCACUAAAUUUCUCGGGUUUAGCCGAGCGAAUGUCGUCUCUUGUAUCCGCCAUAUUAAUAGUUAACUGUAAUUUAACCAAUUCACUAUAUGUCAAAAUAAUAAUAAAAAUAUUAGGAUAGUAAGCAGUAUGUUAAAAACAAGUAACGAAAAUAUCAAAUAUUUUAUUAACACUAGUUGAACAAAAUAAUAAGGUACAAUUGAAUUUUAGUAUGCAAUUUCAAACCAGAGCUACAAAACUAUUAUAUAUGUGGUUUAGUUGGACACACUUGAUCAUAUAAAAGUUAACACAAAAGGGCCAGAGUUUCUGAUUUCAUAUGUUCACAAGCAAUGCUCCACUGGUGCUAUGUAAUCAGCCUAUAUUUGCAGGAUUAGUUUGUCUGAGUGUAAGAAUAUAAAAGAAGCCAGCAAUAUGAACAAUUUCAGCAGACUAAUAAUAACAAAAUUACGAUUCCUUAGAUUGUUAUAUAAGCUAGCUAUGUGAGAUCUUAGGUGUUUCUUACUAGUACCAGACUAUUAAACAAUCAGGUCAUAAUAUUGCACAGACACAGGAUUCAAAGCACACUAGACUUUGCUUCUCAAAAUAUCAAAAACAAAUAGCAGGGGUGCAUAUAAAAAAGGCAAACAAACAAACAAAUUAUCUUUACCAGUAAUUCAACAACUAAUAUAACAAAACAAACACAAGUGAAUAUGUAUAUGAUCAACUAAAUUAAGAAGGUUUUAGAGAGUGGCCUGGUGAGUCGUGUGAAAACACUGCCCUAAGGAAUCGUGCCCCUUCUCGUGCAAGGUUUUGUGGCAACUCCUUAGCGGUACAACACUCAAAUAGUUAUCCUUUAGCAGUGCACGAAAGAUAAAGGACAGCAACAAUGAUUUUCCGAUGCUCCAAAUAACAGCCAAAGUAUUGUAUAUAAAUAGUAUUAUGCUAUUAAACUAUAUGAUUCUCUAGGUAAAAACAGAGGUUUGUGUUUUCUGAUAUAUGCAGACUAGAAGAGCUUUGAAACAGAGGAGAAUGGAAGCAGAGGAGUCGAGAGAUUGUUUUUCUUUUUGCUGUUCAGCUACU